UACGAAGGGGGCUAGCGUUGUUCGGAAUUACUGGGCGUAAAGCGCGCGCAGGCGGUCUUCCAAGUCAGUGGUGAAAGCCCGGAGCUCAACUCCGGAACUGCCAUUGAAACUGUAAGACUUGAGGACGAGAGAGGUGAGUGGAAUUCCCAGUGUAGAGGUGAAAUUCGUAGAUAUUGGGAGGAACACCAGUGGCGAAGGCGGCUCACUGGUCCAUUCUGACGCUGAGGUGCGAAAGCGUGGGGAGCAAACAGG
This 252-nucleotide ribosomal RNA is filed under the name uncultured bacterium. RNAcentral's name for it is "partial 16S ribosomal RNA". It matches the Rfam family "Bacterial small subunit ribosomal RNA", at positions 524 to 776 of the family's 1533-position model. The record is from RNAcentral.